AGCAUAUCAAUAAGCGGAGGAAAAGAAACUAACAAGGAUUCCCCUAGUAACUGCGAGUGAAGCGGGAAAAGCUCAAAUUUAAAAUCUGGCAGUCUUUGGCUGUCCGAGUUGUAAUCUAGAGAAGUGUUAUCUGCGCUGGACCGUGUACAAGUCUCCUGGAAUGGAGCGUCAUAGAGGGUGAGAAUCCCGUCUUUGACACGGACUACCAGGGCUUUGUGAUGCGCUCUCAAAGAGUCGAGUUGUUUGGGAAUGCAGCUCAAAAUGGGUGGUAAAUUCCAUCUAAAGCUAAAUAUUGGCGAGAGACCGAUAGCGAACAAGUACCGUGAGGGAAAGAUGAAAAGAACUUUGGAAAGAGAGUUAAACAGUACGUGAAAUUGCUGAAAGGGAAACGCUUGAAGUCAGUCACGUUGUCCAGGGAUCAACCUUGCUUUUGCUUGGUGUACUUUCUGGUUGACGGGUCAGCAUCAAUUUUGACUGUUGGAAAAAGGUCAAGGGAAUGUGGCAUCCUCGGAUGUGUUAUAGCCCUUGGUUGUAUACAAUGGUUGGGAUUGAGGAACUCAGCACGCCGCAAGGCCGGGUUUUUAACCACGUACGUGCUUAGGAUGCUGGCAUAAUGGCUUUAAUCGACCCGUCUUGAAACACGGACCAAGGAGUCUAACAUGCCUGCGAGUGUUUGGGUGGAAAACCCGAGCGCGUAAUGAAAGUGAAAGUUGAGAUCCCUGUCGUGGGGAGCAUCGACGCCCGGACCAGACCUUUUGUGACGGUUCCGCGGUAGAGCAUGUAUGUUGGGACCCGAAAGAUGGUGAACUAUGCCUGAAUAGGGUGAAGCCAGAGGAAACUCUGGUGGAGGCUCGUAGCGAUUCUGACGUGCAAAUCGAUCGUCAAAUUUGGGUAUAGGGGCGAAAGACUAAUCGAACCAUCUAGUAGCUGGUUCCUGC
Molecule: ribosomal RNA, 938 nt
Filed under: Cortinarius sinapicolor
Lineage: Eukaryota; Fungi; Basidiomycota; Agaricomycetes; Agaricales; Cortinariaceae
Description: eukaryotic LSU rRNA
Rfam family: Eukaryotic large subunit ribosomal RNA
Source: RNAcentral